Molecule: ribosomal RNA, 279 nt
Filed under: uncultured bacterium
Lineage: Bacteria
Description: partial 16S ribosomal RNA
Rfam family: Bacterial small subunit ribosomal RNA
Source: RNAcentral
CUUUCUCCGCCGGCGACCGGCGCACGGGUGAGUAACACGUAUGCAACCUGCCCCUGUCAGGGGGACAACCCGCCGAAAGGCGGGCUAAACCCGCGUACAUGCCACCGGGGCAUCCCGGAGGCAGGAAAGGCCUUCGGCCCGGACAGGGAUGGGCAUGCGGCGCAUUAGGCAGUAGGCGGGGUAACGGCCCACCUAACCGACGAUGCGUAGGGGUUCUGAGAGGAAGGUCCCCCACACUGGUACUGAGACACGGACCAGACUACCUACGGAAGGCAGCAG